RNAcentral lists this long non-coding RNA (476 nucleotides) under Citrus maxima (pomelo). Its description in RNAcentral is "long non-coding RNA (CMAX_LNC000522)". Lineage: Eukaryota; Viridiplantae; Streptophyta; Magnoliopsida; Sapindales; Rutaceae. The record is from RNAcentral.
CUUUGUUGACAGAACUUUCCUAGACAUGCAAAAAUACACACUACUUACAAUAGACUGUCUCCUAAGUAUAAAUGGUCGUCUCCACCGUAUUUGUGAACAGUACCGUAUAUAGGAAUAAUACCGUAUACGUGAAUAGUGCCGUAUCCCCCCAAGUACGAACCGUCGGCUUUGAUACCACUUGUUGCGGAAACGUAGGUUGAGCAAUUACUAAUACUGCAACUUCUGGAGAAAUAUAAAUGUGGUGGUAAACAAAUACAAAUAAAAACACAAUGAUUUACGUUGUUCGGCGUAAUGCCUACAUCCACGGGCAAAGACUGGAAGACAAUUUUAUUAACAAUGGGACUUUACAAAAGUGGGAAAAACUCACAAAACCCACAACCCCAAUACACUCAAAUGAAAACUCACUAAAACACUCAAGUGGAAGCUCUCUUAAAUUCUCUCAAAGAACUCACUUGCAAUUGCUCUCUACUUCUCUC